ACAUGCAAGUCAACGGACUGUGGUAAUUAUGAUUGAAGAGCUUGCUCGGAGAGAUUAAUUACAAUGCAGUCAGUGGCGAACGGGUGAGUAACACGUGGGAAACCUACCUCUUAGCAGGGGAUAACAUUUGGAAACAGAUGCUAAUACCGUAUAACAAUUAGAACCGCAUGGUUCAAGUUUAAAAGAUGGUUCUGCUAUCACUAAGAGAUGGUCCCGCGGCGUAUUAGCUAGAUGGUGAAGUAAUGGCUCACCAUGGCAAUGAUACGUAGCCGAGUUGAGAGACUGAUCGGCCACAUUGGGACUGAGACACGGCCCAAACUCCUACGGGAGGCAGCAGUAGGGAAUCUUCCACAUGGACGAAAGUCUGAUGGAGCAACGCCGCGUGUGUGAUGAAGGCUUUCGGGUCGUAAAACACUGUUAUAAGAGAAGAACGUCAGUGAGAGUAACUGUUCAUUGAGUGACGGUAUCUUAUCAGAAAGGGACGGCUAAAUACGUG
Molecule: ribosomal RNA, 496 nt
Filed under: uncultured bacterium
Lineage: Bacteria
Description: bacterial SSU rRNA
Rfam family: Bacterial small subunit ribosomal RNA
Source: RNAcentral